RNAcentral lists this ribosomal RNA (459 nucleotides) under uncultured bacterium. Its description in RNAcentral is "partial 16S ribosomal RNA". It matches the Rfam family "Bacterial small subunit ribosomal RNA", at positions 338 to 795 of the family's 1533-position model. The record is from RNAcentral.
CCUACGGGGGGCUGCAGUGAGGAAUAUUGGUCAAUGGGCGCACGCCUGAACCAGCCAAGUCGCGUGAGGGAGGACGGCCCUACGGGUUGUAAACCUCUUUUGCCAGGGAGCAACGGGCGCCACGUGUGGCGUCACUGAGAGUACCCGGAGAAAAGCAUCGGCUAACUCCGUGCCAGCAGCCGCGGUAAUACGGGGGAUUCGGGGGUUAUCCGGAUUUAUUGGGUUUAAAGGGUGCGUAGGGGGAUCGUUAAGUCAGUGGUCAAAUUGAGGGGCUCAACCCCUUCCCGCCAUUGAAACUGGCGUUCUUGAGUGGAAGAGAAGUAUGCGGAAUGCGUGGUGUAGCGGUGAAAUGCAUAGAUAUCACGCAGAACCCCGAUUGCGAAGGCAGCAUGCCGGCUUCCGACUGACGCUGAAGCACGAAAGCGUGGGGAUCGAACAGGAUUAGAUACCCGGGUAGUC